Biomphalaria pfeifferi is the source of this 212-nucleotide non-coding RNA. The record is from the annotation of a GenBank genome assembly. Lineage: Eukaryota; Metazoa; Mollusca; Gastropoda; Planorbidae.
GGUGCCUUUUUCACUUAAUGGUUCUUGGGCAAAUUCUGACUGUUUAAAGGGGUUCCCGGCGCAAAAAAAAUUGGAGAACCUCUGUUCUAAAGCAUCUAAACCGUAAAUGCAGACUUUCGAAUAGUAAUGGCAAUGGCAUUGGUGUUAUAGUCGCCAUCCAGUAUCACUAAUUUAUCAAACACACCCGGCAGGGUACUAAAUUCUCUCUUCUC